UGGUGUCCUCAUCUUUGUAUUUCUCUUUUUGACUCAACCUGCAUAUGAUCCACUCUGGGGUUAUCGUCUCUUCACUGCAAAAUAAUUAUCGCCACACGACUUCAUCACCACCUACUUGUUUUCCCUUUGCUUUGCCCUUUUUUCCCCUUUCGUCAUCCUCUGCGUACCUACGUUCGGGGUAGGAGGGAACCCACAAUUGAGACUC
Molecule: long non-coding RNA, 205 nt
Filed under: Brassica napus (rape)
Lineage: Eukaryota; Viridiplantae; Streptophyta; Magnoliopsida; Brassicales; Brassicaceae
Description: long non-coding RNA (BNAP_LNC017041)
Source: RNAcentral